CGGAGGGGUCUGGGAGCUUCUG
Molecule: microRNA, 22 nt
Filed under: Echinococcus granulosus
Lineage: Eukaryota; Metazoa; Platyhelminthes; Cestoda; Cyclophyllidea; Taeniidae
Description: egr-miR-10284-5p
Source: miRBase by way of RNAcentral